Long non-coding RNA from Mus musculus (house mouse), 135 nucleotides. RefSeq annotates it as predicted gene, 53641. The record is from RefSeq and is a predicted model, not a curated record. Lineage: Eukaryota; Metazoa; Chordata; Mammalia; Rodentia; Muridae. The transcript is spliced from 3 exons.
CCUCAAAAGAAAAAUAAGAGAGCCCUGGCUUUCUUCAGAGGAAAAAAAAAACCUCAUCUGGAGAUCCAAAGAAGACAUGUGGAAAUGUCUCCUCAAGGUUAAUAGGCCUGAAACUUGCCCCACCAUAUUGAAUCA